CAGCAGCCGCGGUAAUACGGAGGGAGCUAGCGUUAUUCGGAAUUACUGGGCGUAAAGCGCACGUAGGCGGCUUUGUAAGUUAGAGGUGAAAGCCUGGAGCUCAACUCCAGAAUUGCCUUUAAGACUGCAUCGCUUGAAUCCAGGAGAGGUGAGUGGAAUUCCGAGUGUAGAGGUGAAAUUCGUAGAUAUUCGGAAGGACACCAGUGGCGAAGGCGGCUCACUGGACUGGUAUUGACGCUGAGGUGCGAAAGCGUGGGGAGCAAACAGGAUUAGAUACCCCAGUAGUCCCUGUCUCUUAUAC
RNAcentral lists this ribosomal RNA (301 nucleotides) under uncultured bacterium. Its description in RNAcentral is "partial 16S ribosomal RNA". It matches the Rfam family "Bacterial small subunit ribosomal RNA", at positions 509 to 807 of the family's 1533-position model. The record is from RNAcentral.